RNAcentral lists this ribosomal RNA (546 nucleotides) under Fusarium oxysporum f. sp. phaseoli. Its description in RNAcentral is "eukaryotic LSU rRNA". The stretch from base 180 to 333 matches the Rfam family "5.8S ribosomal RNA". RNAcentral also lists the same sequence under 1 other name. Lineage: Eukaryota; Fungi; Ascomycota; Sordariomycetes; Hypocreales; Nectriaceae. The record is from RNAcentral.
UUCCGUUGGUGAACCAGCGGAGGGAUCAUUACCGAGUUUACAACUCCCAAACCCCUGUGAACAUACCACUUGUUGCCUCGGCGGAUCAGCCCGCUCCCGGUAAAACGGGACGGCCCGCCAGAGGACCCCUAAACUCUGUUUCUAUAUGUAACUUCUGAGUAAAACCAUAAAUAAAUCAAAACUUUCAACAACGGAUCUCUUGGUUCUGGCAUCGAUGAAGAACGCAGCAAAAUGCGAUAAGUAAUGUGAAUUGCAGAAUUCAGUGAAUCAUCGAAUCUUUGAACGCACAUUGCGCCCGCCAGUAUUCUGGCGGGCAUGCCUGUUCGAGCGUCAUUUCAACCCUCAAGCACAGCUUGGUGUUGGGACUCGCGUUAAUUCGCGUUCCUCAAAUUGAUUGGCGGUCACGUCGAGCUUCCAUAGCGUAGUAGUAAAACCCUCGUUACUGGUAAUCGUCGCGGCCACGCCGUUAAACCCCAACUUCUGAAUGUUGACCUCGGAUCAGGUAGGAAUACCCGCUGAACUUAAGCAUAUCAAUAAGCGGAGGAA